RNAcentral lists this ribosomal RNA (510 nucleotides) under uncultured bacterium. Its description in RNAcentral is "partial 16S ribosomal RNA". It matches the Rfam family "Bacterial small subunit ribosomal RNA", at positions 28 to 507 of the family's 1533-position model. The record is from RNAcentral.
GACGAACGCUGGCGGCGUGCUUAACACAUGCAAGUCGAACGAAGAGCGAUGGAAGCUUGCUUCUAUCAAUCUUAGUGGCGAACGGGUGAGUAACGCGUAAUCAACCUGCCCUUCAGAGGGGGACAACAGUUGGAAACGACUGCUAAUACCGCAUACGAUCUAAUCUCGGCAUCGAGGAUAGAUGAAAGGUGGCCUCUACUUGUAAGCUAUCACUGAAGGUGGGGUUUGCGUCUGAUUAGCUAGUUGGGGGGGUAACGGCCCAACAAGGCGAUGAUGAGUAGCCGGUCUGAGAGGAUGAACGGCCACAUUGGGACUGAGAAACGGCCCAGAAUCCUACGGGAGGGAGCAGUGGGGAAUCUUCCGCAAUGGACGAAAGUCUGACGGAGCAACGCCGCGGGAGUGAUGACGGCCUUCGGGUUGUAAAGCUCUGUUAAUCGGGACGAAAGGCCUUCUUGCGAACAGUUAGAAGGAUUGACGGUACCGGAAUAGAAAGCCACGGCUAACUACGUG